AGUGAACGCUGGCGGUAGGCCUAACACAUGCAAGUCGAACGGCAGCACAGAGGAGCUUGCUCCUUGGGUGGCGAGUGGCGGACGGGUGAGGAAUACAUCGGAAUCUACUCUGUCGUGGGGGAUAACGUAGGGAAACUUACGCUAAUACCGAAUACGACCUACGGGUGAAAGCAGGGGAUCUUCGGAACUUGCGCGAUUGAAUGAGCCGAUGUCGGAUUAGCUAGUUGGCGGGGUAAAGGCCCAAAAAGGCGACGAUCCGUAGCUGGUCUGAGAGGAUUAUCAGCCACACUGGAACUGAGACACGGUCCAGACUCCUACGGGAGGCAGCUGUGGGGAAUAUUGGACAAUGGGCGCAAGCCUGAUCCAGCCAUACCGCGUGGGUGAAGAAGGCCUUCGGGUUGUAAAGCCCUUUUGUUGGGAAAGAAAUCCAUCUGGUUAAUACCCGGGUGGGAUGACGGUACCCAAAGAAUAAGCACCGGCUAACUUCGUGCCAGCCGCCGCAGUAA
This 506-nucleotide ribosomal RNA is filed under the name uncultured bacterium. RNAcentral's name for it is "partial 16S ribosomal RNA". It matches the Rfam family "Bacterial small subunit ribosomal RNA", at positions 29 to 523 of the family's 1533-position model. The record is from RNAcentral.